AUGAAGUCGGAAUUGCUAGUAAUCGCGGAUCAGCAUGCCGCGGUGAAUACGUUCCCGGGCCUUGUACACACCGCCCGUCACACCAUGAGAGCCGGUAAUACCCGAAGUCAGUAGUCCAACCUCGUGAGGACGCUGCCGAAGGUAGGAUUGGCGACUGGGGUGAAGUCGUAACAAGGUACC
RNAcentral lists this ribosomal RNA (180 nucleotides) under uncultured bacterium. RNAcentral describes it as "partial 16S ribosomal RNA". It matches the Rfam family "Bacterial small subunit ribosomal RNA", at positions 1320 to 1500 of the family's 1533-position model. The record is from RNAcentral.